RNAcentral lists this unclassified non-coding RNA (404 nucleotides) under soil metagenome. RNAcentral's name for it is "partial contains 5.8S ribosomal RNA, internal transcribed spacer 2, and large subunit ribosomal RNA". The stretch from base 1 to 121 matches the Rfam family "5.8S ribosomal RNA", at positions 35 to 154 of the family's 154-position model. The record is from RNAcentral.
GAUGAAGAACGUAGCUAAAUGCGAUAAGUAAUGUGAAUUGCAGAAUUCAGUGAAUCAUCGAAUCUUUGAACGCACCUUGCGCCCUUUGGCUAUUCCGAAGGGCAUGCCUGUUUGAGUAUCAUGAACACCUCAACUCUCAUGGUUUGCCAUGAUGAGCUUGGACUUUGGGGGUCUUGCCGGCCUAUGGGUCGGCUCCUCUCAAAUUAAUCAGCUUGCCAGUGUUUGGUGGCAUCACAGGUGUGAUAACUAUCUACGCUUGUGGUUUUCCAUCAGGUAACCUUCAGUGAUGGAGGUUCGCUGGGGCUCAUAAAUGUCUCUCCUCAGUGAGGACAGCUUUUUUGAACGUUUGAUCUCAAAUCAGGUAGGACUACCCGCUGAACUUAAGCAUAUCAAUAAGCGGAGGA